Molecule: transfer RNA, 72 nt
Organism: Ovis aries (sheep)
Lineage: Eukaryota; Metazoa; Chordata; Mammalia; Artiodactyla; Bovidae
Rfam family: tRNA
About the family: Transfer RNA (tRNA) molecules are approximately 80 nucleotides in length. Their secondary structure includes four short double-helical elements and three loops (D, anti-codon, and T loops). Further hydrogen bonds mediate the characteristic L-shaped molecular structure. tRNAs have two regions of fundamental functional importance: the anti-codon, which is responsible for specific mRNA codon recognition, and the 3' end, to which the tRNAs corresponding amino acid is attached (by aminoacyl-tRNA synthetases). tRNAs cope with the degeneracy of the genetic code in two manners: having more than one tRNA (with a specific anti-codon) for a particular amino acid; and 'wobble' base-pairing, i.e. permitting non-standard base-pairing at the 3rd anti-codon position.
Source: Rfam
UCCCUGGUUGCUCAGUUGGUAAAGAAUCUGCCUGCAAUGCAGGAAACCUAGGUUUGAUCCCUGGAUGGGGAA